Molecule: ribosomal RNA, 308 nt
Filed under: uncultured bacterium
Lineage: Bacteria
Description: bacterial SSU rRNA
Rfam family: Bacterial small subunit ribosomal RNA
Source: RNAcentral
GACGAACGCUGGCGGCGUGCCUAACACAUGCAAGUCGAACGGGACAGAGAGCUUCGGUUCUCUGUUUAGUGGCGAACGGGUGAGUAACGCGUGAGGAACCUGCCUUCCAGUGGGGGACAACAGUUGGAAACGACUGCUAAUACCGCAUGACAUAUCCGAAGGGCAUCCUUUGGAUAUCAAAGCUUUAUGUGCUGGAAGAUGGCCUCGCGUCUGAUUAGAUAGUUGGUGGGGUAACGGCCUACCAAGUCGACGAUCAGUAGCCGGUCUGAGAGGAUGAACGGCCACAUUGGGACUGAGAUACGGCCCAG